Pimephales promelas (fathead minnow) is the source of this 845-nucleotide long non-coding RNA. RefSeq lists it as uncharacterized. Lineage: Eukaryota; Metazoa; Chordata; Actinopteri; Cypriniformes; Leuciscidae. The record is from RefSeq and is a predicted model, not a curated record.
GUGUAGUCUUUUUAGACAAAAAAACAAAGGCUAUUAUAUGGCUUCAGAAGACUUGCAACACAACUCAUAACACAUGAGUUGUGGACCAAUUUUCAAUUUAAUUUUUCAUAUUUUUAUGAUCUUUUCUGUGACAUUUUUGGAGAUUAACACAAUAUUUAAGCAUUUUUACAUAAAUUGUUGCAUUGAAUUGAACUAAACAAGUGUACAUAAGAAUGGUUUCAUGAAUGAUUUACACAGUUUUGUUCUGCUUGUCUCCUGCAGUGUAACUGAAUGAUGACUGGGGUUGCAUUACGCCUGAGAUCUGCUUUUGGGUUCCACCGACAGAAAGUCUAACAGGCACCUCGGUAAGCUGAAAUACAAGUUUGAACAAGAAAAAUAAUCCUCCUGUAGACCUGAAAAUCAUAGAAGUGCCUGGACCAUCCACCAGUAAAGAGGAAAAACAAACGGAAAAUUGUACUGUUCUAACUCGUUAACCUCACAUGUCCCUUGUUAAGAUUUUAUUAAUGAUUGCAUUUUAUGUUUCAGCAAGUAAAGGUGCGGUCAAAUUUGUGAAAUUACACAGGCAAAAAAAGUCCAUUGACACAACUUAACUUAAUUGUUUUUUUUUUUUUUAUUAAUGUGAUGUGUUUCCAUGCAUUUUGUUGAGAUGUAUACCCUUUUCUUGUAUACCCUAUUGUAUAUACUGUACAUUGUUGAUUAUUCAUGUUGCUUACAGUAUGUAUUAUACUAUUUGUUUGUGUAUUCUAUUCAGUGAUAUUAAUCUAUUACUAGCUUCUUUUCCCGAGUGCAUGGAAGUGUAUGUAUUAAAAUGGAUCUAAAAUUUAAUAAACAAUUCUUACCUUGUA